This 74-nucleotide transfer RNA is filed under the name Dactylosporangium aurantiacum. RNAcentral's name for it is "tRNA-Ile". It matches the Rfam family "tRNA". Rfam says of the family: Transfer RNA (tRNA) molecules are approximately 80 nucleotides in length. The record is from RNAcentral. Lineage: Bacteria; Bacillati; Actinomycetota; Actinomycetes; Micromonosporales; Micromonosporaceae.
CCCGUCGAGGCCGAAGUGGUAGAGGCACCUCGCUGAUAACGAGGAGACAGCGCGUUCGACUCGCGCCGACGGGA